RNAcentral lists this ribosomal RNA (427 nucleotides) under uncultured bacterium. RNAcentral describes it as "bacterial SSU rRNA". It matches the Rfam family "Bacterial small subunit ribosomal RNA", at positions 506 to 929 of the family's 1533-position model. The record is from RNAcentral.
UGCCAGCAGCCGCGGUAAUACGGAGGGUGCAAGCGUUAAUCGGAAUUACUGGGCGUAAAGCGCACGCAGGCGGUUUGUUAAGUCAGAUGUGAAAUCCCCGGGCUCAACCUGGGAACUGCAUCUGAUACUGGCAAGCUUGAGUCUCGUAGAGGGGGGUAGAAUUCCAGGUGUAGCGGUGAAAUGCGUAGAGAUCUGGAGGAAUACCGGUGGCGAAGGCGGUUCUCUGGGCCUUUCCUGACGCUGAGGAGCGAAAGCGUGGGGAGCGAACAGGCUUAGAUACCCUGGUAGUCCACGCUGUAAACGGUGGGUACUAGGUGUGGGGUCCAUUCCACGGGUUCCGCGCCGUAGCUAGCGCUUUAAGUACCCCGCCUGGGGAGUACGGCCGCAAGGCUAAAACUCAAAGGAAUUGAGCGGGGGCCCGCACAAA